CGCGACCCCAGGUCAGGCGGGCUUACCCGCUGAAUUUAA
RNAcentral lists this ribosomal RNA (39 nucleotides) under Polylepis multijuga. Its description in RNAcentral is "partial 26S ribosomal RNA". Lineage: Eukaryota; Viridiplantae; Streptophyta; Magnoliopsida; Rosales; Rosaceae. The record is from RNAcentral.